RNAcentral lists this ribosomal RNA (468 nucleotides) under uncultured bacterium. RNAcentral's name for it is "partial 16S ribosomal RNA". It matches the Rfam family "Bacterial small subunit ribosomal RNA", at positions 28 to 507 of the family's 1533-position model. The record is from RNAcentral.
GACGAACGCUGGCGGCGUGCUUAACACAUGCAAGUCGAACGGAAAGGCCCUGCUUUUGUGGGGUGCUCGAGUGGCGAACGGGUGAGUAACACGUGAGUAACCUGCCCUUGACUUUGGGAUAACUUCAGGAAACUGGGGCUAAUACCGGAUAGGAGCUCCUGCUGCAUGGUGGGGGUUGGAAAGUUUCGGCGGUUGGGGAUGGACUCGCGGCUUAUCAGCUUGUUGGUGGGGUAGUGGCUUACCAAGGCUUUGACGGGUAGCCGGCCUGAGAGGGUGACCGGCCACAUUGGGACUGAGAUACGGCCCAGACUCCUACGGGAGGCAGCAGUGGGGAAUAUUGCACAAUGGGCGGAGGCCUGAUGCAGCAACGCCGCGUGCGGGAUGACGGCCUUCGGGUUGUAAACCGCUUUCGCCUGUGACGAAGCGUGAGUGACGGUAACGGGUAAAGAAGCACCGGCUAACUACGUG